UAACUUGCUUUAAAUUUGAUCACAUCAAUAAAAAUAAUAUUUGUUAAAAUUUAUUUAUUUACAAAUUAAUCUACAUGUAAAGUAUAUUCUUGAAGCUGAUCAAAACAUGGACAUGAUUAAAUCUAAUUUCUUUCAACCCUCAUAAUUCUUAGUUGAUUUUUCUCUUUAGAUAUGAUUCCCCAUCCUUACAAUACAGAAAUAUUUUUCAGACAAAGCACUUACCUGCAACCGCGGGUGUAGGUAUCACCCAGAAUCAUAAUGAUGGCAAUGGCAGUGGCAGUGCCUGUUUCGCCGCCGAACCAACAUUCCCCCCCAAAUUAGGAUACUUGGCCUCUUCACAAACGGUGUGCAACUUUAAUUCUCUCAAUAAUUAUUUAUCUGCGUGUAUUUUUCACCCCCGGGGAUUGAUUACUUUAUCCAUUUGGGUUUGGGCAGGGGAACUCAGCUGUGAGCCGCUGAAGCAAGCCAUCGAGGGUCGGACAGUAUUUUUGGAAAUCUAACAGCGGGAUUGAGGUUGUCGAGGGGUAGAGGAGAAGCAAUGACUCGGUUGAGAGAGAAAGAAGAGAGGGGAUUUGUCGUUAUCGGAUUUGAGGGAUCGAUUGGCAAAAGAAAUAAAACGGAAAUUCAUUUUCCCCUGUAUAUGGGUGGCGGUGAGGGUUGGGGAAAUUAUGGAAAUGGAAGGGUUUGGAGUUUGAAGUUUUUUGGAUUGGAUCAUUUGAUUUCCUCUAUUAAGCCUAAUAUUUUUAAACAAAAGAG
RNAcentral lists this long non-coding RNA (756 nucleotides) under Olea europaea subsp. europaea. Lineage: Eukaryota; Viridiplantae; Streptophyta; Magnoliopsida; Lamiales; Oleaceae. The record is from RNAcentral.